CUUAUCAGUGGCAGGAUAACAGCACAGACAAAUAGAGACCACAAUUGGAUCUGCUUUCUGUUUCAAGGAAUGACCACCCAGAAACACCAGGGAACUGAAUGGCUGUAAAACCAUUUACUCCACAUCUCAUCCGUUUAUUAGACGUGAUUGGAAAUAAAGCCUUCAUCUGGGUGUCAUAAGCUUCACUUUCAGGACAAGUUAAGAGAUGCCCUCUGUCCCAUGAAUAACACCAGACAAUUCCACAGUGAAGGGAAGUGCCCGCUGAAGUAGAAAUGAUGGAGCAGAAAUUGUGGGCCAGGAGGCUGCAGACAAUACAGAGAGAGAAGGCUGAGAGCCCAUGGCCGGCAGUUUCAGAGAGAAGCUACAUCACUUCCUGUUCUCAUGGAGACUUAAUUCUGGGGCAGGGGCAGGGGCAGGGAUCCCUG
Molecule: long non-coding RNA, 425 nt
Organism: Mastomys coucha (southern multimammate mouse)
Lineage: Eukaryota; Metazoa; Chordata; Mammalia; Rodentia; Muridae
Exons: 3
Source: RefSeq, a predicted model, not a curated record